RNAcentral lists this long non-coding RNA (1429 nucleotides) under Vulpes vulpes (red fox). RNAcentral's name for it is "lncRNA (ENSVVUG00000027043.1)". Lineage: Eukaryota; Metazoa; Chordata; Mammalia; Carnivora; Canidae. The record is from RNAcentral.
AUAUUUGUCUCCUACCGUAAGGGCUUCGGUGAACCCACGGGUGGAGUUAUGAUGGUGGCAUAAACUCGCGGGUCACUCAACCAGCCUCAUGAGGAGCCUGGCAGGAAAGAGUAAGGAAGCCGCAGCCCACAUCAGGCCAGACAUGUCAUCGCGGCCAUCAGCACAGGCACAGAGGUGCUGAUGAAGAGCAGCCGUGUGGCGCUGUGUUAGAGUAAAUUCUGUAAUUGUUAAUCAGGCAGGCAUUAUCAUCCCUGAUGAUACCCCAUUCACCGCCUAAGUAUCCCGAGAUGCUCACCUGCACUCUCGCUAUUACACAUUCUGCAGCACAAUGCGCCGUGAGAUUAUAAUUCACAAUAAAGACCAUGCAUUUUUAUUCCUUUCUGCCUGUAUACAUCACUGAGAAACAUGAAGCCCUAACAAGGCUUUUCAGAUGUAAAAUAACGUAGAAGAAAACUGUGUUCAUUGUGGGGUUUCAGAGAUUGAUGGCAAUUAGGAAGCCCUAUGCCCCUGAUUAAUGCGUGUUUAUAAACACAGGCAAAGUGCCUGCCUCCCGCGGCACGCACAGGAAGCAGGGACCCGGCUCUGAUGAAACGGCUCAACGUGGAGGCUUGUUCUUCAGCGUCAAAGUGAGCCGUCCAAGAAAAGGCUCUCCUGUCUGGCUCGGGAAGGUCUCUUGGAACGGCCGCCAGAUCUGUCAUGGGAAACCGAGACAAACGCGGGCCUUGGCUUUGGGUGCUACUGAUUGGGCCAGGCCCACCCAGGUUAUCGAGGGUGAUGUCCUCUGCUGAGAGCCAGCUCAUUGCAGCUAGUGACCACGUCUGCUGAAUUUCUUCACAGCAGCAUUUGGACUCGUGUUGGGUUGAAUCACUGGGGAUUAUAGCUUAGGCAGGCGGCCUCGACCCACUGGCCAUCACAGGAACGACAUCUCUCACGAGGUUGGAGAAGGUGGUGAGCAUUUUGGGAAAUUAAGUACGGGAAAAUGACUCGCAGGAGGGAUUCCUGUCAUCUCCAAGAGUACCGGAUGUGUCAUGGUUGUCUCACUACAUUGACACCACCAGCCACAAGCCUGCACCUACACACCGGCUCUGCCCUCCACCCUGCGUGGCUGUGUCAUUCUGAACAGCCCAGCUCUGGGAGGGAGAUCCCAUCUCCUUCCCACAUCCCCGAUGAGGAAGCACAGCCUGCUGUGUGCACACAUCGCUGGGCAUGGAGAGCUGCCCAAUCUCUAGUGCUGGAAAGUGCCCGCGGCCCCACAUGGCAUCUCUCGCCCACGGCGUUUGGGAGGAACCCAAAAGUGAGGAUGAAGCCCGUCCUUAAUCCUCUGGGGAAGUCUGUCUCGGUGAGAACUCCAGCUUGCCACUGUAUGCAAAUACCUGUCUCCCUAGAAAUCCGCUUGACAGUGAUGCUGAGCAGAAAAUAUGGAACAUGA